AGUGAGGAAAAAUAGACAUAGGUGUUGCUCUUCUGAACUUAAGUUCUAGAGUUAGAGAAAAAUAUUAGUCAGAUAUUAAUAUGUAUAAAUGCAAAGUUGGAACUGUUUUCAUUUGCUGUAGAGAAGUACAUGGUUUUUAAUAUGAGGGCUUUUGGAAGGAUAAUUUAAUCAAUUAGUGGGACCACACCAAGGGAAGGGUUUGUUUUUUGUUUGAGAAAGUGUUUAGUUAGCUGAAAUCUUGAUGAAUUUGAGUUACGUUGAUCAAGAGGGAGAAAAAAGUUGGUGGAAGAAAGGAGGAUCUAUGUACAAGAUCCUCAUGUGGGAAGAUUUUAGUACCUAACAUUAAAUGAAAGUCAGAAUGACAGAAGCCAAGGACUAGAGAGUGCAUGGAAAGAGGUUAUGCUAAGGAUUAUGUCGGAGCCAAAUUGCAGGAUAUUGUGGGCCAAGGUUUUUUAUCCUUAGAGUUAUUAUUUAAAUUUAAACUAAUAUUCUUUACACUCUACAAAGACUUACUACUGCAGUUGACCCUUGAGCAGCUUGGGAGUUAGUGAUGCCACUCCUACAAGCAGUCAAAAACCCAAGGAUAAUUUAUAGUUGGCCUUAUUAUCUGAGGUUCCUCUGUGUGGGAAGAUUCAACCAAUUGCAGAUCCCAUAAUACUGUAGUAUUUAUUAUUGGGGAAAAAAAAUCUGGAUUUUUUGGAUACACAUAGUUCAGACUCCUGUUGUUCAAGAGUCAGCUGUACUUGCUCCGGUGGUUGUAUUCUAAGAGUUCAUUUUUCUUUCAGUUUAAGACUUACAGUGCUUUUCCUAUGGAAUCAUUGUUGUAGAGAUCAAGUCUCCUAAAACAUUUUUAACACAGUUAACAGUGGAAGGUAGUGAAUAUUAACAUUGAGCCCUUAAGAAAACUAGGUGGAAGAUAGAAAAGAAAAACAAAAAAGGGGAUUAAAAUUGGUAUCUCUACAUACUCAAGAGAAUGUCCUGAGUGUGACUGACUGAGUUUGAAUAAUAAGGAAAAAAGUCUGCAAGUGUAGGAGGCUAGUGUAGGAGAUCCUAGCAAAUGAUUAUCAUAUUCAGUUGGACAGCUUAAGACCCUCACUUGGUACCUGUAUGAAGCAGUGUGAUAUCCGAAGCAUACCAAGGCAGGGAAAGUAGAAGACAUCAUAUUCACAAAUUCAAUGUUCCAAAUCUAGGAAAUAUUUGUGUCAAUGUUAUUAAAACAUAAAAUUAAAAAAUAUAUUUUAAGUAGAAUUGCAAAAUGGUAAUACAAUGCCAACUGUGUUUUGGUUUUUUUAGAGUAAAAAAGUAAGAAGUUAGAAGAAUUAUAUUUUACUAAUGCUCAUAUUUAUUUGUUUGUUUUUUGGUUUAUUUUUAGCCACACCCAUGGCAUCUGGAAGUUCAUGGCCAGGGAUCAAAUCUAAGCCUCAGCUGAGGCCUACAUCACAAGCUGUGGCAAUGCCAGAUCCUUAACCCUCUGUGCUGGGCCAGGGAUUGAACUCAUGCUACCACAGAGAUGAGAUGGCAUCCUUAACCUGCUGUGGCACAGCAGGAACUCCUGAAGUAGUACUUUUAAAGACAAAGUUGAAGGAAUUUAAUUUUUAAUCUUAUUUUCCAUUUAACUUAGAACAUCGUCAAUAAGAUAGUUUCAUUUCUUGUUGAUAUUUAAAUUUUAAGCCUCUUUGAACACCAGCUUACAUCUAUAUUAGUAAAUAAUCUAGUUAAUAAAGUUUAUUAAGAAUAUUAUAAAAAGAUGGAUCAGUUACUUGAAUUUUAUCAAGACCAAAAUGUCACAAAAAAAAAAAUGUGUUAAAUUGUAAGGAAAAGGUAAAAUAUAUGCAAGCAUUCACUGAAUAGUCAUCACAAUACUGUUGGUUGAGGAAUUCUGCCAGUACAUCAUCCUUUAUCAGGUGAUCUUGAACUUUAACUUUCUGGCAUUCUCAAGUAUGGCUUUUAAAGCAGAUUAACAUCUAAAAUUAAGAACUGCAGAAUUGACUUUAGUGGUUAUUUACUCAUGUAUUUGCACUUUUACUUACAAAACAUUCUAAAUUAGAAAGUAUCACUACCAUUUAUUUAUUUAUUUUUGCAGUGUCUAGCAGACUACUGGUAUUCAGAGACCAUAAAUAUUUGGGAAGCUUAUUGGGGUUUGAAAACACAGUUUACUAAAUUUAUCUGAUAUCUCUAAGGGUCAUCGUACCUUUUAAACAGAAAUGAAGAAUCACUUGGAAAUUAUUCAGGGAUUGAUGUGUUCCCUCUGUUUUACAGGUUUCUACUUGUCUAUCAAAGUAUAUUCCAAAAAUCCCUAGUUCUGUGAUAAUAGGUAUGGCCAUCCUCACCUAUCUCCCAUGAGAUUUCUUCAUUGACGUUUUGAAAACUUGAUUAAAGAAUACUGAACAGGAUUUUUUUUACCAUAAUAGCAAUCACUAACAUUUAUUGAAUGCUUACUUUGUGCCAGUCACUAUGCUAAGAGUUUUACAUACAUUAUCUUAUUUAAUCUUAACAACCAGAAAAAACACUUGGAAGAAUAUUCAAGAAGUAUUUCCUUGUAUUACUUCACAGCUUAUAAGCACCAGUGCAAGAACUUCUGUUAAGAAUAUAAUAGUGAGAAAAAUACCAUUUUCUGUUCUUAAAAAUCCUGUGGCUUUGGGAAAGAAGAUUAUGAAAUUUAUCCUUAAAAUUAAACAUUGAACUUAAUAAUGUUUUCUAUGCUCUUCUAACCAUAGUAUUCACAGAUAAUCAGUGAAAACCAUUAUAUUCUUUUAUGACUAGGAAACAACCUUUAAGGCUUCAGAGAGAUGCCUGGGUUUGAACACAGGUUCUAUAGUGUUCAAACACAGGCCACUAUAGUGUUCAACUUUGGUGAGCUGUUAAGGUUCUGAAAUUGAGUUUCUCUGUAAAAUUAGUAUAGUGGUACAUUUCUCACAGAGUUAGUUGUGACUAUUAAGUGAUAGAGUACCAAGCGUAUAUGAAGUCCUAGCAUAUAGUGUACAUUCACUGAAACUUGGUUUUCUUUCUUUUUCCUUCUCUUCUUUUUCUGUUAGUAAUAACCAUGUUUUAGAAUCUUCAUGAAAUUAUAUACACAUUAAAUUUUUAAAUUGUUUUCCUUUUAAAAAGUAAUCUAUUUCUCCUAAAAUUAUUUUAAAACUUUCCUUAAAUUCUGAUUUGAGGGCUUGAUUUACUCCAUCUUUUUGCUUUUCUGCAUUUUGCUAAUGAAAUGGGCACUUGUAAAUGUUGUUGAACUCAGAUAUAAAUUUAAGUAGCCACACUUCAUUAAUGUAAACACUCUACUGAAAGCUUACAGCUAUGCUUUUGGUUCUUAUUAAGUGAAAGAAUAUUAAAUAGAGUUCCUUUUUUUGUCUUUAUUUCCCCACACUAAACAGGCGAUAGUGCAAAGAAGUUAAGUGCCUGGACUCUAGGGCAAAUCUGUUUGGAAUCAAAUCCCUACUUUACCACUUAACUAUGUGACACCUGCAUCUCAAUUUACACAUUAGUAAAAUGGGUGUAAUAAUUGUGCCCACCUUAGGGCAUAUAUCUAUAUCUAUCUAUAUAUAACUGUUAAAAAUGCCUUGCACAUACUGAGUGCCGUAACAGUGUUAACUGUUAAUAGUGAUUAUAUGUAUUAUCUGUAGAUGAAUAUGUAUUAUCUGUAUAUCAGUUGUAUUAUAGAAAAAAUUGUUACUACUGUUCUGGUAAGAGUCUAAUUUGGUAAUUUUUCAUUUGGUAGAAUAAAAACAAAUUCAGUUUAAUUUACGGUUCCAUGAAAAGUAUGUAGCAUUUGUAUUUGCAAAUUCUUCACUUUUUUUUUUACUUCUUAAUCGUAUUAUUGGAGAUAGUGAAAAAUCCCUGUUGUUUCUGGUGAAGAAGCUAAGACAUAAGUAAAUUUAGGAGCUUUUAAAGCAUAGCAGUUUUUAAAGUUAGUAGAAAGUUAGUAUUCAGAGUAUUCCAUGUGCUAUUAUGUUGAGCCAUGCAUCUCUACUCCUUAUUAAAUAUUCAAACAACAAACCUAUUAGUUGGCAAACUAAAUGUUAAAGGGAUAUUAUUCUGUUCUUCAAGACUUUCAUUGGCUUAUGUCUCCUUUGGAUGUGUUCUCUUAAGAUUGAUUCACUUAGCCUUAAAUUAAUUCAAAGAUUGUAUGCAAAAAAAUUGUCUUUGCUGGCAUUGGACUAAUUAAAGCUAAGUGGUGGUGGCCCAGCUAUCCUUUAGGACAUUUGUGGGUGGAGUAUCUUUUUUAGUAAUCAGCUGCCUUCCCUUCCUGCCUCAUUUGAUGAAAUGGAAAAUUUCUCUACAAUUUCUCAUAGUAUCAGUAACCAUUGUAGUAAUACUGUGCUUCUCUGAACCAUCCAAGAAACUUAACCGUCAUUCUUAAUAUUAGUUUCUAUGAAAAAUGAUUCCAAGUUUCAAAGAAUAAAUUGAAAAGCACUAGGAUUAUAAGAACAGUUUUCUGGGUUUUUUUUAGAAAGAUACAUUAGAGAAACAUUUAAAAUAUUUGUUUUUUCUUGUUUAAAAUACUGCACAUUGUCUCUAAUUAAUCAAUUUAAGAAAGUUAUGAACAGUUUGUUUGGAAUCCAGAAAAUAAUAAAUGAUGAUGACUAGAAAACUCAAAAGCAUCCCUUUAAGAGAGAAUUGUAAAUGUUACUUAGACAAGUAAUAGAAAAGUGUCAUUUAGGAGUAGUAAAUAAUUUACUAUGAAUUUUUCUUUAAAACUAACAAAACUUAAAACUUAGUAUUUUAGUCUAAUAAUUUGGAAAUCUUUAUAGGUGCUUUCACAUCAGUGCCACUUUUAUUAUAGAAAACUAAACAAGGAUAAAUUUAUAUAUGUUGAAAAUAGCAGUAUUGACUCAAACACAAAAUAUCCUGUUUUCUAUCCUUGUGAAAUAAUGUUUAAAUUGUAAACAAAUUUGGAAAAAUGUUUUUCUCUAUCUUUUUUUAUAUUUUUUAUUCUUAUUUUUUUUUAGUGUUUUCAUGUAUACACUCUACCGAUUAUUAGGGGCAUAGACUCAGGGAACCUAGUCACCUAAUAACCGAAUUUGAAAACUCUCAAAUUAUUUUGUAAAUCCUGUUGUGAUUAAACCACUUUAAGUUUCUCCUAAAAAAAAAGUCAAGUUAUGUUUAAAAUAAUCUUUUUUAAAGUUAUGGCUUCUGAAAAGGAUUAUUUCUUGAAAGGAGAUUGUGAACAUUUUAGAAUAUUAUUAAGGCUACCAUCAGCUGCUAAGGGACAUCAAAUCCUGACUCAAGGAAAUAGUAAUUUUUCAAAGUAGGAAUUUUUCUAAAGUAGAGAAAAGAUGUACAUUGUUGUCUGUUACAUAUGCAAUUAGGUAAAAAAAGUCCUAGGACUUAAGAAGCAAUCUCAGGUUUUUCAUAGCGGUGUAGAGAAGUAUAAAUAUUUAUUCAGUUGCUUGUUCUACACAUGUUAACUACAUGAUAUGAGCCAUGUAUGCAGCAAUAAAUAAGACAGGUAGGUAUAUGAUAUCAUAUUUGUCUUUCUCUUUCUGACUUACUUCACUCGGUAUGAGAGACUGUAGUUCCAUUCAUGUUGCUGCAAAUGAAAAGACUUAGAGAAAAGACUUGUGGUUGCCAAGGGGGAGGGGGAGGGAGUAGGAUGGAUUGGGAGCUUGGGGUUAAUAGAUGCAGACUAUUGCCUUGGGAAUGGAUUAGCAAUGAUAUCCUGUUGUGUAGCACUGGGAGCUAUGUCUAGUCACAUGAUGGAGCAUGAUAAUGUGAGAAAAAAGAAUGUAUACGUGUAUGUGUAACUGAGUCACCAUGCUGUACAGUAGAAAAAAA
RNAcentral lists this long non-coding RNA (5775 nucleotides) under Sus scrofa (pig). RNAcentral's name for it is "lncRNA (ENSSSCG00000059850.1)". The record is from RNAcentral. Lineage: Eukaryota; Metazoa; Chordata; Mammalia; Artiodactyla; Suidae.